RNAcentral lists this ribosomal RNA (507 nucleotides) under uncultured bacterium. Its description in RNAcentral is "bacterial SSU rRNA". It matches the Rfam family "Bacterial small subunit ribosomal RNA", at positions 973 to 1503 of the family's 1533-position model. The record is from RNAcentral.
AUCAACCCUUGACAUCCUAGGACCGCCAGAGAGAUUUGGCUUUCACUUCGGUGACCUAGUGACAGGUGCUGCAUGGCUGUCGUCAGCUUGUGUCGUGAGAUGUUCGGUUAAGUCCGGCAACGAGCGCAACCCACGUCCUUAGUUGCCAGCAUUCAGUUGGGCACUCUAGGGAAACUGCCGGUGAUAAGCCGGAGGAAGGUGUGGAUGACGUCAAGUCCUCAUGGCCCUUACGGGUUGGGCUACACACGUGCUACAAUGGCAGUGAGAAUGGGUUAAUCCCAAAAAGCUGUCUCAGUUCGGAUUGGGGUCUGCAACUCGACCCCAUGAAGUCGGAAUCGCUAGUAAUCGCGUAACAGCAUGACGCGGUGAAUACGUUCCCGGGCCUUGUACACACCGCCCGUCACACCAUGGGAGUUGGUUCUACCCGACGGCCGUGCGCUAACCUUUUGGAGGCAGCGGACCACGGUAGGAUCAGCGACUGGGGUGAAGUCGUAACAAGGUAGCCGU